UACGUAGGGGGGCAAGCGUUGUCCGGAUUUAUUGGGCGUAAAGAGCGUGUAGGCGGCCUGACAAGUCUGCUGUGAAAACUCGAGGCUCAACCUCGAGAUGUCGGCGGAAACUGUCUGGCUAGAGUCCGGAAGAGGAGAGUGGAAUUCCUGGUGUAGCGGUGAAAUGCGCAGAUAUCAGGAAGAACACCUAUGGCGAAGGCAGCUCUCUGGGACGGUACUGACGCUGAGACGCGAAAGCGUGGGGAGCGAACAGG
This 254-nucleotide ribosomal RNA is filed under the name uncultured bacterium. RNAcentral describes it as "partial 16S ribosomal RNA". It matches the Rfam family "Bacterial small subunit ribosomal RNA", at positions 524 to 776 of the family's 1533-position model. The record is from RNAcentral.